Molecule: transfer RNA, 109 nt
Filed under: Flavobacterium silvaticum
Lineage: Bacteria; Pseudomonadati; Bacteroidota; Flavobacteriia; Flavobacteriales; Flavobacteriaceae
Description: Flavobacterium sp. SE-s28 tRNA-Asn
Rfam family: tRNA (bases 2-64)
About the family: Transfer RNA (tRNA) molecules are approximately 80 nucleotides in length. Their secondary structure includes four short double-helical elements and three loops (D, anti-codon, and T loops).
Source: RNAcentral
GUAUGCGUUAACUCAAUUGGUAGAGUGCUACACUGUUAAUGUAGUUGGAGCGGUUCACUCCUAAAAAGAAUCAAAAAAUCAGAAAGCGAAUUGCCUUUUCCUGCGUCUA